GAGUUUGAUCGUGGCUCAGAUUGAACGCUGGCGGCAUGCCUUACACAUGCAAGUCGAACGGCAGCAUGAUCUAGCUUGCUAGAUUGAUGGCGAGUGGCGAACGGGUGAGUAAUACAUCGGAACGUGCCCUGUAGUGGGGAGUAACUAGUCGAAGAUUAGCUAAUACCGCAUACGACCUGAGGGUGAAAGUGGGGACCGGCAAGGCCUCAUGCUAUAGGAGCGGCCGAUGUCUGAUUAGCUAGUUGGUGGGGUAAAGGCCCACCAAGGCGACGAUCAGUAGCUGGUCUGAGAGGACGAUCAGCCACACUGGGACUGAGACACGGCCCAGACUUCCUACGGGAGGCAGCAGUUGGGGAAUUUUGGACAAUGGGCGAAAGCCUGAUCCAGCAAUGCCGCGUGUGUG
This 403-nucleotide ribosomal RNA is filed under the name uncultured microorganism. RNAcentral describes it as "bacterial SSU rRNA". It matches the Rfam family "Bacterial small subunit ribosomal RNA", at positions 9 to 407 of the family's 1533-position model. The record is from RNAcentral.